RNAcentral lists this ribosomal RNA (468 nucleotides) under uncultured bacterium. RNAcentral's name for it is "partial 16S ribosomal RNA". It matches the Rfam family "Bacterial small subunit ribosomal RNA", at positions 28 to 507 of the family's 1533-position model. The record is from RNAcentral.
GACGAACGCUGGCGGCGUGCUUAACACAUGCAAGUCGAACGGAAAGGCCCUGCUUUUGUGGGGUGCUCGAGUGGCGAACGGGUGAGUAACACGUGAGUAACCUGCCCUUGACUUUGGGAUAACUUCAGGAAACUGGGGCUAAUACCGGAUAGGAGCUCCUGCUGCAUGGUGGGGGUUGGAAAGUUUCGGCGGUUGGGGAUGGACUCGCGGCUUAUCAGCUUGUUGGUGGGGUAGUGGCUUACCAAGGCUUUGACGGGUAGCCGGCCUGAGAGGGUGACCGGCCACAUGGGGACUGAGAGACGGCCCAGACUCCUACGGGAGGCAGCAGGGGGGAAUAUUGCACAAUGGGCGGAAGCCUGAUGCAGCAACGCCGCGUGCGGGAUGACGGCCUUCGGGGGGUAAACCGCUUUCGCCUGUGACGAAGCGUGAGUGACGGUAAUGGGUAAAGAAGCACCGGCUAACUACGUG